AUUGAACGCUGGCGGCAGGCCUAACACAUGCAAGUCGAGCGGAGCGGCGGACGGGUGAGUAAUGCCUAGGAAUCUGCCUGGUAGUGGGGGAUAACGUCCGGUACUGGGCGCUAAUACCGCUAACUAUCAGAUGCGCCUAGGUCGGUUUAGCAAGUUGGUGGGGUAAAGGCAAACGAAGGCGACGAUCCGUAACUGGUCUGAGAGGAUGAUCAGUCAAACUGGAACUGAGAAACGGUCCAGACUCCUACGGGAGGCAGCAGUGGGGAAUAUUGGACAAUGGGCGAAAGCCUGAUCCAGCCAUGCCGCGUGUGUGAAGAAGGUCUUCGGAUUGUAAAGCACUUUAAGUUGGGAGGCGUUACCAGCAGAAUAAGCACCGGCUAACUUCGUGCCAGCAGCCGCGGUAAUUC
This 407-nucleotide ribosomal RNA is filed under the name uncultured bacterium. RNAcentral's name for it is "partial 16S ribosomal RNA". It matches the Rfam family "Bacterial small subunit ribosomal RNA", at positions 30 to 526 of the family's 1533-position model. The record is from RNAcentral.